Aedes albopictus (Asian tiger mosquito) is the source of this 59-nucleotide non-coding RNA. Lineage: Eukaryota; Metazoa; Arthropoda; Insecta; Diptera; Culicidae. The record is from Rfam.
UUAGCCUAGUGGUAAGGCUAUGGACCGCCAAUCUGGAGAGGGCGGGUUCGAUUCCCGCA